Long non-coding RNA from Saccostrea echinata, 368 nucleotides. RefSeq lists it as uncharacterized. The record is from RefSeq and is a predicted model, not a curated record. NCBI's taxonomy places the organism in Eukaryota, Metazoa, Mollusca, Bivalvia, Ostreida, Ostreidae. The transcript has 4 exons.
GUACUGUAUGAAUGCAGUGAAAGGAUCCAGAUGAACAGAUGAAGAGAUUAAGUACAAUGUACAUCAAUUACUUGGAUGAAGAGAAUCUGCAACAUGGGGAAAUAAUGUUCCUAUAGAAAAGUCAAAGAAUGUAUACAUGUGAGAUUCUGAAGUAGCCGUACAUGAUGAGUAGGAAUUUGAAGUGAAUUAUGGGAAAAGUGAAAUGGUAAAAAAGAAACUGCUAGCGCUACUGUGCAGACUACCAUCAAUCAACAUGAUCAACAAAAUCAAGUAAUCCUUCUGAAGAUGGAGUAGUACACAAGCACAAUUUUUUAAAGAAAGAAAAGUCAAUGGAAUGAAAGCCAAAGAAAAGGUGAAGUGAAUUGUCA